CUGUACUAAUUACCAAAGAUGAAAAACAGCCUUGCCCUUAAUGGGUUGCAGCUGUGACUAAUAAAGUAUAAUAAAAGGGGUGGGUUGGCUGGUCAGAGGGAACCUUGAGAAGGAGGAGCUGGAGGAAGAGGACCUCGGGGAGGCAGAGGAGCCCUGAGGAAGGACUGAUCCAGAGAGACACAAAGAGCGUUAUUGCUGCACAAGAUCUGCUGUGAGCCAGUUGUAUCUGCCUUCUGUUUUAAGUGUUUCACUGUCCUACAGAGACCGUAUUCUUCUAGCAAGCAUGUUUAAGGAAUUGAGUGACAACGUUUUACUGCUUUAAAGUUCGUGGUAGCUGCUAAUUAUUUUAGUGCAAACAAAAUGGACUGGUGUGUGUCAUCACAUUAAAAACUAUGGAGGCUAAAUUAUGAGAGUAUUCCAGAUGCAUCUGCAGCUGGACCAGGAAUUCACACCUUGAUCUAACCACAAAAUGCCAAACUCUUGACUUCAACUAGUACAAUAGUAGUUCUCUCCAUGCACAGAGAGAAGGUGAAAGACCAGGACACCUUGAUGCUGAAAACCCUGAUCAUCUACUUUCUGGACUGUGUAAUGGAAGAAGGUAUUAAAGUUCUGUUCCUGUGCAUCUGAAAUGGCAGCAUUACUCAUGACUGACAAAUCCAUAGCACACAGAAGAGCUCUAUAAUGAAGUGUUCCUGGUGUUGGGCUGGGAGCCAGGAGCAUGGGAUGCUUACCCCAGCUAAAGGACCAGUGUCCUACUUGCUGUGCUGAGCCAAGUGAUCUCUUCUCUGCAUCUCUGUACUGUGGCUAAGUCAAAGGAUCUACUAAAUGUGCUGCAAGAUUGUUUCAGUUGAAAACCAACGUGUCCCUGAAUUCAGGCCACAAUGUCCAGUUCCUCAUCAGCUCUGUAGAGCAGCCACUAUGGCACAACAGCAAGGAGCUUUAAAGACCAAGCAGGGAUAGACAGAUGUUGCCAUCUGGCAUUACCAGGUCAUCUUGGAUUAGUCCAUGGCCAGCUGUGGGGUCUCCUCUGAAGAGAUGUAAGCACCAGCUACAUGUGGGGUCAUUUAUGGAGGUUGUACUUGAUGUGAGCAUUGAAGCAAGGUGCACAAAGGAAUUUAGGGUAGCUGCACAAAGCAUCAUGGCAACUCAGAAGAGGUUCAUUGGCAAAAUGCAGGGGGUUCCAGACCCAUUUUCUAUGAUUAGAGGAGGCAUCAUGAGGCUUUAGAGAUUUUGUUGGUCAUUUGUGGAUCUUACCCAAACUGCAUAAUUAGUAACUCUUUAAAAACAAGUCUUUCCAUGACUUGAGCAGAUGCUGAUGGGACCAUCAGGUGAGGAUGGACACUUGCAAACCCCUAAAAUUAAUGGUAGAUGAGCAGAAGCUAAGGAUGAAGAUGUUUCACUAAUCGUAGCAUAUCUCCCAUGUGGAUAAAUCCAUCUUCAGUUUUCCCUUGCUACAGAUCCAGCAGCUUUUUAUGAGCUACAGACUUAUGCAGAAUAACUGACAGAGUAUUGAUAAAAAGAAAUUCCACUGGAAGCCACUGAAGUAAAACUCUGCAUGCAAUUUAUCCUCCUGAGAUCCUGGGGAAUCUGGCAAACACACCUCAGGAUAAUUUGUUUAAUAAAAAACAGGUGCUAUUCUAAGCUCUACAGUUUUCCAGGACAGAUUACCAAAGAUAUAAUUUAGAAGAGAGGACAUAAAUGGAAUACAUGUGCUGGCAAAUGUUGCAUUUUUAGCUUAUAUCUGUCAGAUUUUCCAGGAUUAUGCUUUCCAUACUGCCAGCUGCUCAGUAUUCCAAUCCUUGUGCAGAAAACCAUGUUGGUAAACACUUAAACACAAAUGAAAGUGUUUUCCUGGAUAAAGGCUUGAAUGCUUAAAACCUUGCAAAACUGAAGCCCAGCUUAGCUGCCUCAGCCUGUUUUCCAAGGUGCCAUUGCAGACAUGAUAUCUUUGUUAAAGAAAUACAUUGUUUUCCUACCACUUGGAAUUGCUGCUCGUUAACUAAAAUGAGAGGUCCUAUUUAAAAUAUACCUAUUUAUGAUUGGAGGUAAUUUGACUAUUAAACUUCUGGGCUUUUCAUUAAAUCCUUUCAUUACUAUUUUAUUGAGGAGCUCAGAACAUUGCAUAUGCAGGUAAUGAUUGCAGAUAACAAAUGUUUCUCAUUAUUUAGUCUGAAUAUAUGUUGCAUUGAAUUUAAUCACGUCUGUGCUUAUCUACUAUAGAGAGAUGAAGAGAGAUAGAGCCUUGGGGAUGGUAACAAAAGAAUUUAUUUUACA
This is a long non-coding RNA of Zonotrichia leucophrys gambelii, 2274 nucleotides long. RefSeq lists it as uncharacterized. The transcript is spliced from 7 exons. NCBI's taxonomy places the organism in Eukaryota, Metazoa, Chordata, Aves, Passeriformes, Passerellidae. The record is from RefSeq and is a predicted model, not a curated record.